This 783-nucleotide ribosomal RNA is filed under the name uncultured bacterium. RNAcentral's name for it is "bacterial SSU rRNA". It matches the Rfam family "Bacterial small subunit ribosomal RNA", at positions 1 to 776 of the family's 1533-position model. The record is from RNAcentral.
GCCCUUAGAGUUUGAUCCGGCUCAGGAUGAACGCUACUUACAGGCUUAACACAUGCAAGUCGAGGGGCAGCAUGAACUUAGCUUGCUAAGUUUGAUGGCGACCGGCGCACGGGUGAGUAACACGUAUCCAACCUGCCGACGACUCGGGGAUAGCCUUUCGAAAGAAAGAUUAAUACCCGAUGGCAUAGUUCUUCCGCAUGGUAGAACUAUUAAAGAAUUUCGGUCAUCGAUGGGGAUGCGUUCCAUUAGGUUGUUGGCGGGGUAACGGCCCACCAAGCCUUCGAUGGAUAGGGGUUCUGAGAGGAAGGUCCCCCACAUUGGAACUGAGACACGGUCCAAACUCCUACGGGAGGCAGCAGUGAGGAAUAUUGGUCAAUGGACGAGAGUCUGAACCAGCCAAGUAGCGUGAAGGAUGACUGCCCUAUGGGUUGUAAACUUCUUUUAUACGGGAAUAAAGUGAGGCACGUGUGCCUUUUUGUAUGUACCGUAUGAAUAAGGAUCGGCUAACUCCGUGCCAGCAGCCGCGGUAAUACGGAGGAUCCGAGCGUUAUCCGGAUUUAUUGGGUUUAAAGGGAGCGUAGGCGGACGCUUAAGUCAGUUGUGAAAGUUUGCGGCUCAACCGUAAAAUUGCAGUUGAUACUGGGUGUCUUGAGUACAGUAGAGGCAGGCGGAAUUCGUGGUGUAGCGGUGAAAUGCUUAGAUAUCACGAAGAACUCCGAUUGCGAAGGCAGCCUGCUGGACUGUAACUGACGCUGAUGCUCGAAAGUGUGGGUAUCAAACAGG